AAAGUCGUAACAAGGUUUCCGUAGGUGAACCUGCGGAAGGAUCAUUAUCGAGUUCUGACGUGGGUUGUUGCUGAUCCUCCGGGAUAUGUGCACACUCAUCGCUCAUCCACUCACACCUGUGCACACUUGUAGUCUUUUUCUGAUUCUAAAGGAUGUAUGGUUGAAAGGCUUCACGGCCAGCCGACUUUCAUUCUGAAGAUGAAGGGGGGAUUACGUUUUUAUAUACGCAUAAAGUCUAGAAUGUUAUCUUGCUAUAAACGCAUUUAAUACAACUUUCAACAACGGAUCUCUUGGCUCUC
Molecule: unclassified non-coding RNA, 299 nt
Filed under: Basidiomycota sp.
Lineage: Eukaryota; Fungi; Basidiomycota
Description: partial contains small subunit ribosomal RNA, internal transcribed spacer 1, and 5.8S ribosomal RNA
Rfam family: Eukaryotic small subunit ribosomal RNA (bases 1-47)
Source: RNAcentral